CGGUUAACGGGGGAUUAGGGUUCGAUUCCGGAGAGGGAGCCUGAGAAACGGCUACCACAUCUAAGGAAGGCAGCAGGCGCGCAAAUUACCCAAUUCUAACAGCAUAAGAGAGGUAGUGACAAGAAAUAACAGUACAAGGCAGUUAAAAUGCUUUGUAAUUGGAAUGAUAGAAAUUUAAAUACUUUUUAAAGUAUCAAUUGGAGGGCAAGUCUGGUGCCAGCAGCCGCGGUAAUUCCAGCUCCAAUAGCGUAUAUUAAAAUUGUUGCAGUUAAAAAGCUCGUAGUUGAAUUUCUGCUAAAAAUAACCGGUCUGCUUUUGUUAAWAAAAGUGGUAUCUUGGUGUGUUUUUAGCAAUAAUGUCCUUUGAAAUGUUUUUUACUUUAUUGUUAAAAGCAAAUUUUAGGAUUUUUACUUUGAGAAAAUUAGAGUGUUUCAAGCAGGCUAACGUUUUGAAUACUGCAGCAUGGAAUAAUAAAAUAGGAUUUUAGUUCUACGUUAUUGGUUUUAAGGG
RNAcentral lists this ribosomal RNA (510 nucleotides) under Hepatozoon sp. BT-2014. RNAcentral's name for it is "bacterial SSU rRNA". It matches the Rfam family "Eukaryotic small subunit ribosomal RNA", at positions 358 to 867 of the family's 1831-position model. The record is from RNAcentral. Lineage: Eukaryota; Apicomplexa; Hepatozoidae.